This 236-nucleotide unclassified non-coding RNA is filed under the name soil metagenome. RNAcentral describes it as "partial contains small subunit ribosomal RNA, internal transcribed spacer 1, and 5.8S ribosomal RNA". The record is from RNAcentral.
UUUCCGUAGGUGAACCUGCGGAAGGAUCAUUAAUGGAUGUAUAUGAGGAUGUGCUGGCUCGAAAAUAGAGCAUGUGCACUCUCUCUAAACCUCCCUUUCAUCCUCCUGUGCACUCUUUGAUGGGUUGGGUCAACUUCUGGCCUUAAUCCAUCGUAUUUUUACAACAUACACCAAUAAUACUCAUGAUUUUCAUUAACAAAUUGUAACAACUUUCAACAAUGGAUCUCUUGGUUCUC